Molecule: ribosomal RNA, 253 nt
Filed under: uncultured bacterium
Lineage: Bacteria
Description: partial 16S ribosomal RNA
Rfam family: Bacterial small subunit ribosomal RNA
Source: RNAcentral
UACGUAGGCAGCAAGCGUUGUUCGGAUUUACUGGGCGUAAAGAGUAUGUAGGCGGUUGCUUAAGUUUGGUGUGAAAUCUCCCGGCUUAACUGGGAGGGUGCGCCGAAAACUGAGCGGCUGGAGUGCCGGAGAGGAACGCGGAAUUCCUGGUGUAGUGGUGAAAUACGUAGAUAUCUGGAGGAACACCGGUGGCGAAGGCGGCUACCUGGCCCAACAUUGACGCUGAGACCCGAAAGCAUGGGGAUCAAACAGG